This 89-nucleotide small nuclear RNA is filed under the name Chelydra serpentina (North American snapping turtle). RNAcentral's name for it is "U5 spliceosomal RNA (ENSCSRG00000018521.1)". It matches the Rfam family "U5 spliceosomal RNA", at positions 1 to 90 of the family's 117-position model. From Rfam's summary of the family: U5 RNA is a component of both types of known spliceosome. The precise function of this molecule is unknown, though it is known that the 5' loop is required for splice site selection and p220 binding, and that both the 3' stem-loop and the Sm site are important for Sm protein binding and cap methylation. The record is from Rfam by way of RNAcentral. Lineage: Eukaryota; Metazoa; Chordata; Testudines; Chelydridae.
UAACUCCGGUUUCUCUUCAAAUUGUAUAAAUCUUUCACCUUUUACUAAAGAUUUCCGUGAAGAGGAACAGUUACGAGUUUCAACCAAUG